GACGAACGCUGGCGGCGUGCCUAAUACAUGCAAGUUGAGCGCUGAAGGUUGGUACUUGUACCAACUGGAUGAGCAGCGAACGGGUGAGUAACGCGUGGGGAAUCUGCCUUUGAGCGGGGGACAACAUUUGGAAACGAAUGCUAAUACCGCAUAAAAACUUUAAACACAAGUUUUAAGUUUGAAAGAUGCAAUUGCAUCACUCAAAGAUGAUCCCGCGUUGUAUUAGCUAGUUGGUGAGGUAAAGGCUCACCAAGGCGAUGAUACAUAGCCGACCUGAGAGGGUGAUCGGCCACAUUGGGACUGAGACACGGCCCAAACCCCUACGGGAGGCAGCAGUAGGGAAUCUUCGGCAAUGGACGAAAGUCUGACCGAGCAACGCCGCGUGAGGGAAGAAGGUUGUCGGAUCGUAAAACUCUGUUGGUAGAGAAGAACGUUGGUGAGAGUGGAAAGCUCAUCAAGUGACGGUAACUACCCAGAAAGGGACGGCUAACUACGUG
This 497-nucleotide ribosomal RNA is filed under the name uncultured bacterium. RNAcentral's name for it is "partial 16S ribosomal RNA". It matches the Rfam family "Bacterial small subunit ribosomal RNA", at positions 28 to 507 of the family's 1533-position model. The record is from RNAcentral.